GACGAACGCUGGCGGCGUGCUUAACACAUGCAAGUCGAACGGAAAGGCCCUGCUUUUGUGGGGUGCUCGAGUGGCGAACGGGUGAGUAACACGUGAGUAACCUGCCCUUGACUUUCGGAUAACUUCAGGAAACUGGGGCUAAUACCGGAUAGGAGCUCCUGCUGCAUGGUGGGGGUUGGAAAGUUUCGGCGGUUGGGGAUGGACUCGCGGCUUAUCAGCUUGUUGGUGGGGUAGUGGCUUACCAAGGCUUUGACGGGUAGCCGGCCUGAGAGGGUGACCGGCCACAUUGGGACUGAGAUACGGCCCAGACUCCUACGGGAGGCAGCAGUGGGGAAUAUUGCACAAUGGGCGGAAGCCUGAUGCAGCAACGCCGCGUGCGGGAUGACGGCCUUCGGGUUGUAAACCGCUUUCGCCUGUGACGAAGCGUGAGUGACGGUAAUGGGUAAAGAAGCACCGGCUAACUA
Molecule: ribosomal RNA, 464 nt
Filed under: uncultured bacterium
Lineage: Bacteria
Description: partial 16S ribosomal RNA
Rfam family: Bacterial small subunit ribosomal RNA
Source: RNAcentral